UGGAGCAUUUUGAACAAUCCUAACUUUUACUAAAAAAAGGAUUAUUUCAAGAAAAGGACAUAUAAUCUGAUCUUAAAACUUCCAUGCACACCAAAGGAUAUAAAAUUCUAUUAUAUCCAAACACAUGUAAUUUCAGGCUUGUUUUGUUUCAGUGGUUUCAAUCCUUUUAUAUAACAUUAACAUGAUAAAAUUAACACAAUACAAUUUUGACAUCUGCAAGCAACUCUUCGGAGCACCAGUAAUAUUACAUUCAGUGAUAAUAGGAUGGUAUAUACAUGUAUGGGCUUCGCUGAUGACAGAGAUAAUUCUGCUAACACUGUUAAUGCAACCCUUUGGUAGGUUUUGGAUGAUGUCUUCCAUUAUUGGGUGUAAACAAUUUGGACAUGUCAGUCAAGUGUCUGAGGACUGGCCGCUCAGUAGGAUCCCGAACAAACUGUGAGACUUGCAGACAAAUGACAUUUAAAACACCUGUUUUGAAAUCGAAAUACCUACCAGGUGACAAUUAUUAGUUAGCAAUUAAUAAUCAACUUCAGUUUCUAUGGUAACUCUUGUGUAAUAAAAUGAUUAUAAAUUGAAGCCAUUUACUUGGAACACCUCAGUUUGAACCCAGCAAUCUCCAGGGUUAGAACCCCAGAUUAAUGAUGUUACCAGGCAAAGGAGCUGAUCAUCUGGUUCACUCAGCUGAUCCCACUUGAACAGCCGGGAUAAUAACAUGGGAAAUAUUUCAGUGCGGCAACAAAGUGGGACGUGUUGCUAGGAGACACAUCACCAAGAUCGACAUGGCGACACUGAAGCCUUCUGGGAACAGGAGAGACAGUCCAACUUGACUGCCGAAUAUGAGCAGUGCUUGGAUCAAAAUCA
Molecule: long non-coding RNA, 861 nt
Organism: Magallana angulata
Lineage: Eukaryota; Metazoa; Mollusca; Bivalvia; Ostreida; Ostreidae
Exons: 3
Source: RefSeq, a predicted model, not a curated record